UCGACAACCUGGUUGAUCCUGCCAGUAGUCAUAUGCUUGUCUCAAAGAUUAAGCCAUGCAUGUCUCAGUGCAGGCCUUUAUACGGUGAAACCGCGAAUGGCUCAUUAAAUCAGCUAUGGUUUAUUGGAUCGUACCCGUUAAAUGGAUAACUGUAAUAACUCUAGAGCUAAUACAUGCCACGAUGCCCUGACUUGCGGGGAUGGGUGCACUUAUUAGAUCAGAAGCCAACCGUGCACGGCCAAAAGCUGUGCAUGUUGCCCUUCUGGUGACUCUGGAUAAUUGUUACAGAUCGCAGUCGGCCUUGAGUCGGCGACGGGUCCUUCAAAUGUCUGCCCUAUCAACUUUCGAUGGUAGGUGACCUGCCUACCAUGGUGAUAACGGGUAACGGGGAAUCAGGGUUCGAUUCCGGAGAGGGAGCCUGAGAAACGGCUACCACUUCCAAGGAAGGCAGCAGGCACGCAAAUUACCCACUCCCGGUACGGGGAGGUGGUGACGAAAAAUACCGAUGCGGGACUCUCCAAAGAGGCUCCGUAAUCGGAAUGAGUGGACUAUAAAUCCUUUCACGAGGAUCCAUUGGAGGGCAAGUCUGGUGCCAGCAGCCGCGGUAACUCCAGCUCCAAUAGCGUAUAUUAAAGUUGCYGCAGUUAAAAAGCUCGUAGUUGGAUCUCGGUAGGACUGUGACCUGUCGGAAUUUGGGUGGAUGGCUGUCGGUGCAUGGGCCUCGUUGUCCGUGUUGCCGGCGCUGCUGUUCAUUCCAGGCUGACAAGGUGACGGUGUUACCUUUAAGCCAUGUCUGUGGUGCAAUACCCGCAGGUGUAGGCGAGUGUCUGGCGAUGCUUACCCUGUUGUAGGGCUUGUCGGCUCGUUUGCAUGCCCUUGGAUGCCCUUCAAAAGGUGUCUGGGGGCGGAUGGCACGUUUACUUUGAACAAAUUUGAGUGCUCAAAUCAGGCCGUUGUUGCCUGAAAAGUUUUGCAUGGAAUAAUGGAAUAGGACUUCGGUUCUAUUUCGUUGGUUUUCGGAUCCGAAGUAAUGAUCAAAAGAGACAGGCGGGGACGUUUGUAUGGCUGCGCUAGAGGUGAAAUUCAUGGACCGUAGCCAGACAAACUAAAGCGAAAGCAUUCGUCAAGCAUGUUUUCAUUGGCCAUGAGCGAAAGUCAGAGGCUCGAAGACGAUCAGAUACCGUCCUAGUUCUGACCAUAAACGAUGCCAACUGACGAUCCGUGGUGGUAGUCUCUCAACCUUCCCCACGGGCAGUCCCCGGGAAACCUUUAAGUCUUUGGGUUCCGGGGGAAGUAUGGUUGCAAAGCUGAAACUUAAAGGAAUUGACGGAAGGGCACCACNAGGAGUGGYGCCUGCGGCUUAAUUUGACUCAACACGGGAAAACUCACCCGGGCCGGACACUAUGAGGAUUGACAGAUUGAUAGCUCUUUCUUGAUUUGGUGGAUGGUGGUGCAUGGCCGUUCUUAGUUGGUGGAGCGAUUUGUCUGGUUAAUUCCGAUAACGAACGAGACUCCAGCCUGCUAAUUAGUGCGUUUGUCUACUGUGCCUGUGUAGGCGGCGUGGAAUUAUGCUAGCGUUCCUUUCAUGAUGACUAUUGUCGGCUUUCCGUAAGGUGGCUGGCGAGAAUCGUCUGGUCUGUGGCUAAUGAAGCGUUAGCCUCCGGGUACGGCGCGAGCGUUUACUUCUUAGAGGGACAAGUGGUGGAAAGCCAUACGAAAUAGAGCAAUAACAGGUCUGUGAUGCCCUUAGAUGUCCGGGGCCGCACGCGCGCUACAAUGACGGUGGCAACGAGUGAGACCUUCUGGCCUGAAAGGGUUGGGUAAACUGGUCAAUCACCGUCAUGACAGGGAUCGGGGCUUGGAAUUGUUCCCCGUGAACGAGGAAUUCCUAGUAAGUGCAAGUCAUAAGCUUGCGCUGAUUACGUCCCUGCCCUUUGUACACACCGCCCGUCGCUACUACCGAUUGAAUGGUUUAGUAAGGUCCUUGGAUUGGUGCCAUUGUGGCUGUUGCCGAGAGGUGAUUGCCCGACGGGCGUCGAGAAGACGACCGAACUUGAUCAUUUAGAGGAAGUAAAANUNGUAACANGGUUUCCGUA
This 2096-nucleotide ribosomal RNA is filed under the name Nippotaenia decidua. RNAcentral's name for it is "SSU rRNA". It matches the Rfam family "Eukaryotic small subunit ribosomal RNA". The record is from RNAcentral. Lineage: Eukaryota; Metazoa; Platyhelminthes; Cestoda; Nippotaeniidea; Nippotaeniidae.